AUAUUUUCCUGAUAGGGCAGAGACAAUGUUGUUGGAGGCUGUUUUCUCAAGAAUGAGGUUAUCACAUUGCUCUUUACGUCCGCUGAUGCUUGCGAUGUUUUCAUAUGUGGGUUACUCGCCUGCAAAAGUUAUAGUAGUGGAGGACUGUGUUCGCGCUUUCCCUUA
Small nuclear RNA from Carcharodon carcharias (great white shark), 165 nucleotides. RefSeq annotates it as U1 spliceosomal RNA. The transcript has a single exon. The record is from RefSeq and is a predicted model, not a curated record. Lineage: Eukaryota; Metazoa; Chordata; Chondrichthyes; Lamniformes; Lamnidae.